ACUUGGACUGCAUUAUGCUGGCUUUCCUGAUUUUCCAGCUGGCAGAAUAUAGGACCCUUUGGCAUCCAAAAUCAAGUAUACAAUAUAAUGACAUUCAUCAUUGGAAAUUUGCACCUUUAAUUUUUUUUUUUGGUACUGGAGCUCGAAUUCGAGACCUGCACUUGCAAGAUGUCUACAAGAACCCAGUGGAGACUGUGUUAUUACUUGUGAAAAUGGAGGAGGUCAACCCUGUUACUGGAAUUUCUCAUAUUGUCUAUGUCACUGACAACCAUAGAACCACCUUUCAGCCAUAUCACAUCUGUAUCACUUCUGAAAAGUCUGCAUACAAUGAAACUACUACAACCUUAAAUGAUUGGUUUCAUCUAAAACUACAGGAGGUGUGGACGUGAUGCCUAGGAUGUAUCAGUGACUAUCCACUGAGGAGUCUCUGAUGUCAGACACCAGCAGCAGAAAAAGAAAAGCACAGCCACCUACCCUCCAUCAACAGACUAUACCACUAUGAGCAUGGCAGGCUCAGUGCCAGAAAAUGCAAUGACAUCAAGACUAGUUGGCCAGAACUCAACACUGGGGCCAACAAUCCACAUAGUAAUUUGAGGCCCCAGAAGCAGAAGUCACUCAGUGAUAGCCACAAAACCAACAGCCCAGCAGAGAUAAUGUUCUGUAUUUCCUCUGUCUUAUUUCAAGGUCCAGUCUGGAGCUAUAGUUAUGAUCAGCAUGGGAAAGUGGUGUGAGUUCUCAGUUCAGAGGCAGGUCCUGACAGGCCUACUAUAAAUGUGGUAGAGGUUUCAUAGAGAAGUAGCAUUGGGUUAGUUCCUCCUAUCAGUUCCUAUCAGAGGGGAUGCAGCUGUGCUCAUGCUGAAAAGGCAACAUAGCCACAACCCUUCCUUGGAUGUAGAAAGAGAACCGAGAAUACAUGACAGCUGUCUAACCCAGGCCCUUGUGUGUUCAUGGGAAUCUGACUUCCUAAAGAAGAGUGGGAAGGUACAUUCAGCCAAUGAUCACUACUCUCAUCUCAAUCUUGGAAAUCCUGCCUUCCCUCAGCUCAUCUGCCUUUGAGUUGAGCAACAGGUGCCCAACAGACAGAUGUCAUAUCCCUUGACUUUCUUCACAUGGUGGGCUGCCUUUGGUAGACCUUGCUCAUUAUGUCCAGUUUAGCCAAGCUGGCUCAGAAGUAGAAGUCCACUGAAUAUGAAUUGCCUCAAAGGUCAAACUCCUGAAAUCUUUGUGGCUUAAGAGAGCAAUGGAAUAUUUCCCAUUCAUAUAAAGUCUCACAUGGUUUGAGAAGCCUUCCUCCAUCUUGCAGUUUUGUUGCAUGCUCCACCUGAUCCAAGGACUCCAUUGCAAGGUACAGGAGGAAAGGAGGAGGAACACAAGUCUGAACUCACUAGCUUGGAAAAUACAUGGACUCCACUUCUACUUGCUACCCAAUAGCAGGACCCCAACCUAAAUGCAAAGAAAGCUGGGGAAUGUCAGAGGAACACCUAGAAUAGUCAUCAUGGUAUGCUUAUAAUACUG
Molecule: long non-coding RNA, 1515 nt
Filed under: Heterocephalus glaber (naked mole-rat)
Lineage: Eukaryota; Metazoa; Chordata; Mammalia; Rodentia; Bathyergidae
Description: lncRNA (ENSHGLG00000042545.1)
Source: RNAcentral